Molecule: RNA transcript, 1444 nt
Organism: Coregonus clupeaformis (lake whitefish)
Lineage: Eukaryota; Metazoa; Chordata; Actinopteri; Salmoniformes; Salmonidae
Gene name: protein Z-dependent protease inhibitor
Exons: 5
Source: RefSeq, a predicted model, not a curated record
UGGUUAAUAGUUAACCCUAAAGGCACACUUGCACUUUGUAUCCCCAAAUAGUAGAUGGAAGGUUUUGACAAAAUACCUUGCUGAUACCCAAGCUGAAAGGUUGGGAUCGCAUAACUCACCAAAGAACUAUGAUGAUGAAGGUGGGACUCCUUUUCCUCCUGACCCAUGUCUGCACCCUCACCCCUGUCUACCAAACUCAAGAGCAGAGCCCCAACAUCACAGACCUGACCUUCAAGAACAUGGACUUUGCCAUGAAUCUCUACAGGAAGAUUGCUGGUUACCAUGAUAAUAACAUAUUUUUCUCACCCCUGAGCAUAUCCACAGCUUUUGCUACCCUCUCCAUGGCAGCACAGGGUCCCACACGAGACCAGAUACUGAAGGGGCUCAACCUGGCCUACCUAGAUCGGGACAACCAGCCAGACAUAAUUCCAGAGCUCUUCCAACACCUCCAAGGGAACAUCACACAAGAUGAAUCAUUGAAACUGGACCAGAGCACUGCCUUCUUUGUUUGCCUAAAGUGUGAGGUAGAGAGUGACUACCUUGACCAGAUCAAGAAAUUCUUCAACGCUGAUAUAAAAAAUGUGGACUUUGCAAAUACAAAAGCUAGCGUUGGCAUGAUCAAUGAUUACAUAAUGAGAAAGACUGAUAACAAAGUCAAGGAGAUGGUCUCUGACUUGGAUCCACUUACCCAACUUAUCCUCAUCAACACCAUUUUCUUUCAGGGUGAAUGGCAGAUGCCCUUCAACCCCAAUCACACAGAAAUUCAACGCUUCUAUAUUGACAACUACAACAUUGUCCAGGUGCCUAUGAUGUUAAGAAUGGAGGAUAAGUUCUACACAAUGGAAGACUUUCCCCUGAAUGCCAAGGUGCUGAAGCUGCCAUACCGAAAUGGUGUUUCAAUGCUUAUCCUGCUACCCAACAAAGGCCUGGAUUAUACCACAAUAGAUGACGAAAUCACAGCUGAGAGAUUCCUCAGAUGGAUUAAAAACCUGAAAGAAAGUUCCUUUUUUUUAAAGGAAACUAGAAGUUCAACUGCCCAAGUUCAAGAUGGAGCAAUCCUACGCCAUGCACAAAAUCCUACCAGAUUUGGGUAUAUCCAGAAUCUUCCAUGACACCGCUAACCUCACUAAAUUGAGCAAAGACCCAGGCCUGAAGGUGUCAGAGGUGUUGCACAAGGCAGUGAUCGAGGUGGAUGAGAGAGGCACCACUGCAGCCGCUGCCACAGACAGCGGCAUUAUUGGAUACGCCUUACCCUCUUCCUUCAUCGUCAACCGACCCUUCUUCUUUUUUAUCUACCAUGAGGUCACUAACAGCUUGUUGUUCAUGGGCCGAGUGAUUGACCCCACCAAAAACGGAGUCUAAUGAAUACAGUGCAUUUGGUGCGUGGAGAGGUGUUACAUGUAAUAUGUUUCAUUUGUAUGUAUUAAAGGUGAACAGAUAUUCA